GGCAAGGAUAGGCCGGGGUGUUAGGCGUGCCCUGUUGCCCGAAAUCGUCUUUAGCGGGGGCCGAAGCUUUUUGAGCGGUGUGGUUUCCAGGGCCGAAAUGCGAAUCUACCUCGGCUCU
RNAcentral lists this unclassified non-coding RNA (118 nucleotides) under uncultured archaeon. RNAcentral describes it as "Archaea_SRP". The record is from RNAcentral.